CCUACGGGAGGCAGCAGUCGGGAAUUUUGCGCAAUGGACGAAAGUCUGACGCAGCAACGCCGCGUGAGGGAGGAAAUCCUUCGGGAUGUAAACCUCACAAGCAAGGGAAGAGAGCUGCGGGCUGAAUAAUCCUGCAGUACGACGGUACCUUGCGUAAGCCACGGCUAACUACGUGCCAGCAGCCGCGGUAAU
This 192-nucleotide ribosomal RNA is filed under the name uncultured bacterium. RNAcentral's name for it is "partial 16S ribosomal RNA". It matches the Rfam family "Bacterial small subunit ribosomal RNA", at positions 338 to 524 of the family's 1533-position model. The record is from RNAcentral.